Molecule: ribosomal RNA, 465 nt
Filed under: uncultured bacterium
Lineage: Bacteria
Description: partial 16S ribosomal RNA
Rfam family: Bacterial small subunit ribosomal RNA
Source: RNAcentral
GACGAACGCUGGCGGCGUGCUUAACACAUGCAAGUCGAACGGAAAGGCCCCUUUGGGGGUACUCGAGUGGCGAACGGGUGAGUAACACGUGAGUAACCUGCCCUUGACUUCGGGAUAACUUCAGGAAACUGGGGCUAAUACCGGAUAGGAAUCCUUGCUGCAUGGUGGGGGUUGGAAAGCUUCGUCGGUUUUGGAUGGACUCGCGGCUUAUCAGCUUGUUGGUGGGGUAGUGGCUUACCAAGGCGUUGACGGGUAGCCUGCCUGAGAGGGCGACCGGCCACAUUGGGACUGAGAUACGGCCCAGACUCCUACGGGAGGCAGCAGUGGGGAAGAUUGCACAAUGGGCGGAAGCCUGAUGCAGCAACGCCGCGUGCGGGAUGACGGCCUUCGGGUUGUAAACCGCUUUCAGCAGGGGCGAAGCUUGUGGUGACGGUACCUGCAGAAGAAGCACCGGCUAACUACGUG